GUAGAGCGCACCCCUGAUAAGGGUGAGGUCCCUGGUUCAAGUCCAGGAUAGCCCACCUACUAUGAAUUCAGAGUCAGAUGGGGGUAUAGCUCAGUUGGUAGAGCGCUGCCUUUGCACGGCAGAAGUCAGCGGUUCGAGUCCGCUUACCUCCACUCUCUACAUGAAUUAAGAUUGAGGGUUUACCCGAACUAAAAAAGUAUAGAUAGCUAUUGAAUGAGAUAGUACAGCACCUAGAAGUCGUAAAAAAGGCUAUAGGAUGCUGGACGAAAGUUCAGUCAGAACCUAGAAAACUGCAUAGAGAAUCAGAAAAAAGGUAGAACCGUAACAGACAACUAAGUCAAAGU
This 344-nucleotide transfer RNA is filed under the name Lyngbya aestuarii PCC 7419. RNAcentral describes it as "partial 16S-23S ribosomal RNA intergenic spacer". The stretch from base 80 to 152 matches the Rfam family "tRNA". Lineage: Bacteria; Bacillati; Cyanobacteriota; Cyanophyceae; Oscillatoriales; Microcoleaceae. The record is from RNAcentral.